AAAGGGAAUGAAGUUCUCCCUUGGCUCUAUGUCAAAACCGCUGAAAGGCUGAUGGCUUCUGCA
RNAcentral lists this non-coding RNA (63 nucleotides) under uncultured Butyricicoccus sp. The record is from RNAcentral. Lineage: Bacteria; Bacillati; Bacillota; Clostridia; Eubacteriales; Butyricicoccaceae.